AGUGGGGAAUUUUCCGCAAUGGGCGCAAGCCUGACGGAGCAAGACCGCGUGGGGGAGGAAGGCUCUUGGGUUGUAAACCCCUUUUCUCAAGGAAGAAGUUCUGACGGUACUUGAGGAAUCAGCCUCGGCUAACUCCGUGCCAGCAGCCGCGGUAAUACGGAGGAGGCAAGCGUUAUCCGGAAUGAUUGGGCGUAAAGCGUCCGCAGGUGGCCGUUCAAGUCUGCUGUCAAAACCAGGGGCUCAACUCCUGACCGGCAGUGGAAACUGAGCAGCUAGAGUGCGGUAGGGGCAGAGGGAAUUCCCGGUGUAGCGGUGAAAUGCGUAGAGAUCGGGAAGAACACCGGUGGCGAAAGCGCUCUGCUGGGCCGCAACUGACACUCAGGGACGAAAGCUAGGGGAGCGAAUGGGAUUAGAUACCCCAGUAGUCCUAGCCGUAAACGAUGGAGACUAGGUGUUGCCUGUAUCGACCCGGGCAGUGCCGAAGCUAACGCGUUAAGUCUCCCGCCUGGGGAGUACGCACGCAAGUGUG
This 529-nucleotide ribosomal RNA is filed under the name uncultured bacterium. Its description in RNAcentral is "bacterial SSU rRNA". It matches the Rfam family "Bacterial small subunit ribosomal RNA", at positions 353 to 896 of the family's 1533-position model. The record is from RNAcentral.